UGGAAGGUGAGGGUUAAUGUUGGUUGAUUCAAGGAAAAGUAGGGAUCUUUCUAAAAAAUGACACGAUGAACGAAAGAACUUUAAUAUUAUAAUAGGUAGAGAUAGAGAUUUAGUGAGAAGUCAAAACCCCACUCAAAAUGUCUCCAAGUUUUCAAAUCUCUAAGGUCAGUUUAGAUUAGGAAUUUUCAGGAUUUAGUUAUGUUUGCAUUGAAUCCUAGGGUUUUGGAUUUCAAAACACCAUUUUUCCAAACAGGUCCAGUGAAAUUAAAAUUUUAAACCAUUAAAGAAAAAAUAUCCUAGGAUCUAUUUCUUAGACGCGCGACCGUGCAAAUUUAAGACAAACACAACUUUGAUUUGCAGAUUCUAUGGAGCCUAAUUGGCUAUACUCAAGUUUAAACUUAACUCG
This 406-nucleotide long non-coding RNA is filed under the name Setaria viridis. Its description in RNAcentral is "long non-coding RNA (SVIR_LNC007832)". Lineage: Eukaryota; Viridiplantae; Streptophyta; Magnoliopsida; Poales; Poaceae. The record is from RNAcentral.